GAUGACCAAACAAAGUCAGACAAGGCAGAAGAUGUAGAAUUAAUAUUCUGUGAUGAACAUCAGUCUAAUUGUUGAUGAAAUAUAGUCGCUCAUGGAAUAUUAUAUCUGCUGGGUUCAAACUAUAAGUGUGUUGAUGACUCAAGCUUUCUCGAUUGAUUCUCAGGACUGUAGUGCCCAUCUUACUAGGAGACUCUCUUCCUUGCUGACUUGGAGGAAGCAAGUAGUCAUAUGGGGAAGAUCCAGAUGGCAAGGAACCAAAGGCAACCUCCUGCCAACAGCCAUUGAUAAGGUGAGGUUGUUAGUCCAGUAGCCACAAGGAACUGAGUGCUACCAAGAAUAAUGUUGAUUGGAAGCAAAUCCAUCCUGUGUCAAUCUUCAGAUGAGACGGCAACUCUAAAUGACACCUAACUGGAGCCUUGUAAGACCCAGAAGCAAAAGACACAGCUCAGUCAUGCCUAGGCUCCUAACUCACAGAAACUGUGAUGUAAUAAAUGUGUGUUGCUUUUAGCCACUGUAUUUUUGUUCAUAUUGUUCCAUAAUAAUAGAUAACUGAUACAAUAUUCAGAAGUAGACAUUUUAUUUUGAGUUGCUCCUGAAGCAGGACUGACUUGUUAAGUUGCCAGGAAUGCUCAUUUUUUAUCAUGUAAACGUCAGUAAAAAACCACCAAUGCCUUGUUCUUUCCAUGGGUUUAAAUCUAAACUACACAACAACUUAACCUACAACCUAAGGUUUCCCACUAACCAGGCAAACUCGCCGUUUAUGUACUCAGUCUCAUCUCUUUAUUUUUCUUCUACUCAACUCUUUGGCCAAGCCACUUUAUCUACAUUUCCUUACAAUUUCUUUUGCGAAUGAAAGUAAAUCAGAAGCAUUUGUUGUUUUUGUCAUUUCCAAUACCCUACUACUCAUAUUAAUGCUAUGUGUUUAAGAUUUCUAGAUUUGUUGACUGUAUACAUAUGGAAUGGGAUACAGGAAUAAAAGUUUCGAGAUUCUGUUAUGAAUGUGUGAGUAACGUAAAAACUGUGACCUUUCCUCUAAUUUCAUUUCAUCAUUUUUAAAAUAAGUAAUAACAUUAACUGUUUUUAAACGUGCAGCAAUUAUACUAGGAUGUAAGAUUUUAAGUUCACUAUGCAAUUUUUCCAUAGAGCAGUACUUAUGUGUAGAUGAUAAUUCAUGUACAAGUCCAAUAUUACUU
RNAcentral lists this long non-coding RNA (1193 nucleotides) under Homo sapiens (human). Its description in RNAcentral is "HSALNT0056478". Lineage: Eukaryota; Metazoa; Chordata; Mammalia; Primates; Hominidae. The record is from RNAcentral.